CAAACGACUCUCGGCAACGGAUAUCUCGGCUCUUGCAUCGAUGAAGAACGUAGCGAAAUGCGAUACUUGGUGUGAAUUGCAGAAUCCCGUGAACCAUCGAGUCUUUGAACGCAAGUUGCGCCCGAUGCCACUAGGCUGAAGGCACGUCUGCCUGGGCGUCACACA
This 165-nucleotide ribosomal RNA is filed under the name Mirabilis nyctaginea. Its description in RNAcentral is "5.8S ribosomal RNA". It matches the Rfam family "5.8S ribosomal RNA". From Rfam's summary of the family: 5.8S ribosomal RNA (5.8S rRNA) is a component of the large subunit of the eukaryotic ribosome. It is transcribed by RNA polymerase I as part of the 45S precursor that also contains 18S and 28S rRNA. Lineage: Eukaryota; Viridiplantae; Streptophyta; Magnoliopsida; Caryophyllales; Nyctaginaceae. The record is from RNAcentral.